RNAcentral lists this ribosomal RNA (1102 nucleotides) under uncultured bacterium. RNAcentral's name for it is "bacterial SSU rRNA". It matches the Rfam family "Bacterial small subunit ribosomal RNA", at positions 74 to 1171 of the family's 1533-position model. The record is from RNAcentral.
GGGAGCUUGCUCCCUGAUUUAGCGGCGGACGGGUGAGUAAUGCCUAGGAAUCUGCCUGGUAGUGGGGGAUAACGUUCCGAAAGGAACGCUAAUACCGCAUACGUCCUACGGGAGAAAGCAGGGGACCUUCGGGCCUUGCGCUAUCAGAUGAGCCUAGGUCGGAUUAGCUAGUUGGUGAGGUAAUGGCUCACCAAGGCGACGAUCCGUAACUGGUCUGAGAGGAUGAUCAGUCACACUGGAACUGAGACACGGUCCAGACUCCUACGGGAGGCAGCAGUGGGGAAUAUUGGACAAUGGGCGAAAGCCUGAUCCAGCCAUGCCGCGUGUGUGAAGAAGGUCUUCGGAUUGUAAAGCACUUUAAGUUGGGAGGAAGGGCAGUAAGUUAAUACCUUGCUGUUUUGACGUUACCGACAGAAUAAGCACCGGCUAACUUCGUGCCAGCAGCCGCGGUAAUACGAAGGGUGCAAGCGUUAAUCGGAAUUACUGGGCGUAAAGCGCGCGUAGGUGGUUCGUUAAGUUGGAUGUGAAAGCCCCGGGCUCAACCUGGGAACUGCAUCCAAAACUGGCGAGCUAGAGUACGGUAGAGGGUGGUGGAAUUUCCUGUGUAGCGGUGAAAUGCGUAGAUAUAGGAAGGAACACCAGUGGCGAAGGCGACCACCUGGACUGAUACUGACACUGAGGUGCGAAAGCGUGGUGAUGCAAACAGUGAUUAGAUCCCGUGGUAGUCCACGCCGUAAACGAUGUCAACUAGCCGUUGGAAUCCUUGAGAUUUUAGUGGCGCAGCUAACGCAUUAAGUUGACCGCCUGGGGAGUACGGCCGCAAGGUUAAAACUCAAAUGAAUUGACGGGGGCCCGCACAAGCGGUGGAGCAUGUGGUUUAAUUCGAAGCAACGCGAAGAACCUUACCUGGCCUUGACAUGCUGAGAACUUUCCAGAGAUGGAUUGGUGCCUUCGGGAACUCAGACACAGGUGCUGCAUGGCUGUCGUCAGCUCGUGUCGUGAGAUGUUGGGUUAAGUCCCGUAACGAGCGCAACCGUUGUCCUUAGUUACCAGCCCCUCGGGUGGGCAGUAUAAGGAGACUGCCGGUGACAAACCGGAGGAA